AUACGGAAGGUCCGGGCGUUAUCCGGAUUUAUUGGGUUUAAAGGGAGCGCAGGCGGAGAUGCAAGCGUGAAGUCAAAUUUCGGGGCUCAACCCCGUCUCGCGGCGCGAACUGCGUCCCUUGGUUUCGGGAAGGGGAGGCGGAACUCCUGGGGUCGCGGUGAAAUGCAUAGAUAUCACGAAGAACUCCGAUCGCGAAGGCAGCCUUCCGGCCCGUCAACGACGCUCAUGCUCGAAGGUGCGGGUAUCAAACAGGAUUAGAUACCCUGGUAGUCCGCACAGUAAACGAUGGACACCCGCGGUUUGGCCUGUAUGGCUGAGCCGCCAAGCGAAAGCGUUAAGUGUCCCACCUGGGGAGUACGCCGGCAACGGUGAAACUCAAAGGAAUCGACGGGG
RNAcentral lists this ribosomal RNA (393 nucleotides) under uncultured bacterium. Its description in RNAcentral is "partial 16S ribosomal RNA". It matches the Rfam family "Bacterial small subunit ribosomal RNA", at positions 523 to 918 of the family's 1533-position model. The record is from RNAcentral.